This 464-nucleotide ribosomal RNA is filed under the name uncultured bacterium. RNAcentral's name for it is "partial 16S ribosomal RNA". It matches the Rfam family "Bacterial small subunit ribosomal RNA", at positions 29 to 507 of the family's 1533-position model. The record is from RNAcentral.
ACGCACGCUGGCGGCGUGCUUCACCCAUGCAAGUCGAACGGAAAGGCCCUGCUUGCAGGGUACUCGAGUGGCGAAUGGGUGAGUAACACGUGGGUGAUCUGCCCUGCACUUCGGGAUAAGCCUGGGAAACUGGGUCUAAUACCGGAUAGGAGCCAUUUUUAGUGUGAUGGUUGGAAAGUUUUUUCGGUGUAGGAUGAGCUCGCGGCCUAUCAGCUUGUUGGUGGGGUAAUGGCCUACCAAGGCGGCGACGGGUAGCCGGCCUGAGAGGGUGGACGGCCACAUUGGGACUGAGAUACGGCCCAGACUCCUACGGGAGGCAGCAGUGGGGAAUAUUGCACAAUGGGCGCAAGCCUGAUGCAGCGACGCCGCGUGGGGGAUGACGGCCUUCGGGUUGUAAACUCCUUUCGCUAGGGACGAAGCUUUUUGUGACGGUACCUAGAUAAGAAGCACCGGCUAACUACGUG